This is a transfer RNA of 80 nucleotides. It matches the Rfam family "tRNA". Rfam says of the family: Transfer RNA (tRNA) molecules are approximately 80 nucleotides in length. Their secondary structure includes four short double-helical elements and three loops (D, anti-codon, and T loops). The record is from Rfam.
GACCCCGUAGCUCAGUGGUAGAGCGUGAGAUUCCAGUAGGGGAUUCCUCAAGGUCAUCCGUUCAAUCCGGGUCGGGGUCA